This 210-nucleotide unclassified non-coding RNA is filed under the name Oryza sativa (Asian cultivated rice). RNAcentral's name for it is "partial microRNA MIR427c precursor". Lineage: Eukaryota; Viridiplantae; Streptophyta; Magnoliopsida; Poales; Poaceae. The record is from RNAcentral.
GACAAAAAUUAUCCUUGUAACUAUUAUCUUGACCCAACAGGAAAAAUAAUAAAUUAUCUUUUAGGAGUUGGAGUUGUGGAGUGACCAAAAUGCCGCUCCACACAGCUAGUUCGUUUUUUAGGAGCGAUCUGGCCUACUCCGCUCCACUUUUUUUUUUUGAGCUAGACCGUUUGGUUAGGUGUCGGUGAUAUGGGACCGGGAGUAUCGUGA